This 447-nucleotide ribosomal RNA is filed under the name uncultured bacterium. RNAcentral's name for it is "bacterial SSU rRNA". It matches the Rfam family "Bacterial small subunit ribosomal RNA", at positions 28 to 458 of the family's 1533-position model. The record is from RNAcentral.
GAUGAACGCUGGCGGCGUGCUUAACACAUGCAAGUCGAACGGGAAACCUUUUAUUGAAGCUUCGGCAGAUUUAGCUGGUUUCUAGUGGCGGACGGGUGAGUAACGCGUGGGUAACCUGCCUUAUACAGGGGGAUAACAACCAGAAAUGGUUGCUAAUACCGCAUAAGCGCACAGGACCGCAUGGUCCGGUGUGAAAAACUCCGGUGGUAUAAGAUGGACCCACGUUGGAUUAGCUAGUUGGCAGGGUAACGGCCUACCAAGGCGACGAUCCAUAGCCGGCCUGAGAGGGUGAACGGCCACAUUGGGACUGAGACACGGCCCAGACUCCUACGGGAGGCAGCAGUGGGGAAUAUUGCACAAUGGGGGAAACCCUGAUGCAGCGACGCCGCGUGAAGGAAGAAGUAUCUCGGUAUGUAAACUUCUAUCAGCAGGGAAGAUAGUGACGGU